CCUACGGGAGGCAGCAGUGGGGAAUAUUGCACAAUGGGCGAAAGCCUGAUGCAGCGACGCCGCGUGAGGGAUGACGGCCUUCGGGUUGUAAACCUCUUUCAGCAGGGAAGAAGCGAAAGUGGCGGUACCUGCAGAAGAAGCGCCGGCUAACUACGUGCCAGCAGCCGCGGUAAUACGUAGGGCGCAAGCGUUGUCCGGAAUUAUUGGGCGUAAAGAGCUCGUAGGCGGCUUGUCACGUCGGGUGUGAAAGCCCGGGGCUUAACCCCGGGUCUGCAUUCGAUACGGGCUAGCUAGAGUGUGGUAGGGGAGAUCGGAAUUCCUGGUGUAGCGGUGAAAUGCGCAGAUAUCAGGAGGAACACCGGUGGCGAAGGCGGAUCUCUGGGCCAUUACUGACGCUGAGGAGCGAAAGCGUGGGGAGCGAACAGGAUUAGAUACCCUGGUAGUCCACGCCGUAAACGGUGGGAACUAGGUGUUGGCGACAUUCCACGUCGUCGGUGCCGCAGCUAACGCAUUAAGUUCCCCGCCUGGGGAGUACGGCCGCAAGGCUAAAACUUAAUGAAUUGACGG
Molecule: ribosomal RNA, 567 nt
Filed under: uncultured bacterium
Lineage: Bacteria
Description: bacterial SSU rRNA
Rfam family: Bacterial small subunit ribosomal RNA
Source: RNAcentral